RNAcentral lists this ribosomal RNA (1528 nucleotides) under Clavibacter michiganensis subsp. michiganensis. RNAcentral's name for it is "bacterial SSU rRNA". It matches the Rfam family "Bacterial small subunit ribosomal RNA". The record is from RNAcentral. Lineage: Bacteria; Bacillati; Actinomycetota; Actinomycetes; Micrococcales; Microbacteriaceae.
UUUAUGGAGAGUUUGAUCCUGGCUCAGGACGAACGCUGGCGGCGUGCUUAACACAUGCAAGUCGAACGGUGAUGUCAGAGCUUGCUCUGGCGGAUCAGUGGCGAACGGGUGAGUAACACGUGAGUAACCUGCCCCCGACUCUGGGAUAACUGCUAGAAAUGGUAGCUAAUACCGGAUAUGACGAUUGGCCGCAUGGUCUGGUCGUGGAAAGAAUUUCGGUUGGGGAUGGACUCGCGGCCUAUCAGGUUGUUGGUGAGGUAAUGGCUCACCAAGCCUACGACGGGUAGCCGGCCUGAGAGGGUGACCGGCCACACUGGGACUGAGACACGGCCCAGACUCCUACGGGAGGCAGCAGUGGGGAAUAUUGCACAAUGGGCGAAAGCCUGAUGCAGCAACGCCGCGUGAGGGAUGACGGCCUUCGGGUUGUAAACCUCUUUUAGUAGGGAAGAAGCGAAAGUGACGGUACCUGCAGAAAAAGCACCGGCUAACUACGUGCCAGCAGCCGCGGUAAUACGUAGGGUGCAAGCGUUGUCCGGAAUUAUUGGGCGUAAAGAGCUCGUAGGCGGUUUGUCGCGUCUGCUGUGAAAUCCCGAGGCUCAACCUCGGGUCUGCAGUGGGUACGGGCAGACUAGAGUGCGGUAGGGGAGAUUGGAAUUCCUGGUGUAGCGGUGGAAUGCGCAGAUAUCAGGAGGAACACCGAUGGCGAAGGCAGAUCUCUGGGCCGUAACUGACGCUGAGGAGCGAAAGCAUGGGGAGCGAACAGGAUUAGAUACCCUGGUAGUCCAUGCCGUAAACGUUGGGAACUAGAUGUGGGGACCAUUCCACGGUCUCCGUGUCGCAGCUAACGCAUUAUGUUCCCCGCCUGGGGAGUACGGCCGCAAGGCUAAAACUCAAAGGAAUUGACGGGGGCCCGCACAAGCGGCGGAGCAUGCGGAUUAAUUCGAUGCAACGCGAAGAACCUUACCAAGGCUUGACAUAUACCGGAAACAUGCAGAAAUGUGUGCCCCGCAAGGUCGGUAUACAGGUGGUGCAUGGUUGUCGUCAGCUCGUGUCGUGAGAUGUUGGGUUAAGUCCCGCAACGAGCGCAACCCUCGUUCUAUGUUGCCAGCACGUAAUGGUGGGAACUCAUAGGAGACUGCCGGGGUCAACUCGGAGGAAGGUGGGGAUGACGUCAAAUCAUCAUGCCCCUUAUGUCUUGGGCUUCACGCAUGCUACAAUGGCCGGUACAAAGGGCUGCGAUACCGUAAGGUGGAGCGAAUCCCAAAAAGCCGGUCUCAGUUCGGAUUGAGGUCUGCAACUCGACCUCAUGAAGUCGGAGUCGCUAGUAAUCGCAGAUCAGCAACGCUGCGGUGAAUACGUUCCCGGGCCUUGUACACACCGCCCGUCAAGUCAUGAAAGUCGGUAACACCCGAAGCCAGUGGCCUAACCGCAAGGGAGGAGCUGUCGAAGGUGGGAUCGGUGAUUAGGACUAAGUCGUAACAAGGUAGCCGUACCGGAAGGUGCGGCUGGAUCACCUCCUUUCUAAGGA